UUGCCUUAAAGCCUCAGCCGAACUGCCAACCACACCUUCGGAUGAUCCCAGCUCGAAAGAGGGACAUUCCUCGCAGCAGCAGUGUUAGACGCCGAAUUGAAGAAAAUCCUGGAGUUGAACAUAUC
This is a non-coding RNA of Agelaius phoeniceus (red-winged blackbird), 125 nucleotides long. Lineage: Eukaryota; Metazoa; Chordata; Aves; Passeriformes; Icteridae. The record is from RefSeq and is a predicted model, not a curated record.